Molecule: ribosomal RNA, 460 nt
Filed under: uncultured bacterium
Lineage: Bacteria
Description: partial 16S ribosomal RNA
Rfam family: Bacterial small subunit ribosomal RNA
Source: RNAcentral
CCUACGGGAGACAGCAGUGAGGAAUAUUGGUCAAUGGGCGCAAGCCUGAACCAGCCAAGUCGCGUGAGGGAUGACGGUCCUAUGGAUUGUAAACCUCUUUUGUCGGGGAGCAAAGCCAGCCACGUGUGGCUGGCAGGAGAGUACCCGAAGAAAAAGCAUCGGCUAACUCCGUGCCAGCAGCCGCGGUAAUACGGAGGAUGCGAGCGUUAUCCGGAUUUAUUGGGUUUAAAGGGUGCGUAGGCGGAUGGUUAAGCCAGCGGUAAAAUGUCGGUGCUCAACACCGGCCAGCCGUUGAAACUGGUCUUCUUGAGUGAGCGAGAAGUAUGCGGAAUGCGUGGUGUAGCGGUGAAAUGCAUAGAUAUCACGCAGAACUCCGAUUGCGAAGGCAGCAUACCGGCGCCCAACUGACGCUGAGGCACGAAAGCGUGGGGAUCGAACAGGAUUAGAUACCCUAGUAGUC